RNA transcript from Ailuropoda melanoleuca (giant panda), 3040 nucleotides. It is a transcript of the gene named F-box and WD repeat domain containing 9, with no coding region annotated. The transcript has 11 exons. NCBI's taxonomy places the organism in Eukaryota, Metazoa, Chordata, Mammalia, Carnivora, Ursidae. The record is from RefSeq and is a predicted model, not a curated record.
UUGGGACCCCAAGCCUCUCACUUUUCUUCCCAGUAAAAUGGGAAGGUAAAUGUGAACGACAAAGAUUAAAUGUGAGAACGUGAUAAUAUACACGUGUCGUGUGUCCCCUGGAAUGUAAUUACAGCUCACUGAACGUCUUGAGCUCAAUUUAAAAGGAAGCCAUCAGUGUUACGGCCCAGGUUCAGGCUCCUCCCUCCCCCCCUUAGACUGCCUUAGACUAAACUAAGGGGCAGAGUCUUGCAGCACUUUCAUCUUUGGCUAACCUCGCAACUCUGGGUCACUGGGCAGGUUAGACAUUUUUGUAGGAAGCUUAGCUCAGCACUUGGCCUACAAGAGGUGUAGUUAAGUGUGAGCGACGGGUACUGAGGCAAAUGAGAAAUUGCUAAGUUCUUGGGACACACAGCCUAAGAAUAAAAUCUUGUUGCAACCUCAACCAGGCCGAAGGUCCCCUGCAUUGACUUGGGAAAACAAACAAAAAGUUGACAUUGACAUAUAUCCAGCAUUCAUUCAACAAAUGUGUACUUUUAGUGAGGGAAUAAACUACAGAACAGUGGUAUGUCCCAUAGAAAAAAAGGCAGCGGGGAGGGGGGAGAGAACGUUGGGGCAAUGAUCCUCUUUACAGUGGGGUACUGGGAGAAGCCUUACUGCGAAGGUGAUAACUGACGAAGAGCCACGUGGAUAUCUGAAGAGAGGCAGAACUGCAAGUGCUCGGAGACAUACGGAUCGGUUAAUACUGCUUGGCUCGAAAGAGGCUUUCAUUAAAUAAGAGAUAAGGACGACGUUAGGUAAUUCAGAGAAUUUGAGGCCUCUACGGUGCAAUUGCACAUUUGUGGCUCCGGAAAGAGGCAGGAAUUGAAAUCCCUAUAUGGCCCAGACUGCGAACUCAGAGGGACUGCAUUUCUAAACUCAGUGCCACCUGAGAGGUGCCUUUGACAGAACCGCGUCGAACCGGAGUCAGCUUCCCGUCGGCAUCAGCACCGGCACAGAUGCCCGUUUAAUAAACGCUGGAAGCUGAAAUCUGCAUUUCCUAGCCCAAGGCCGACGCAGCUGCGCCACGGAAGCCCUCACAACGGCGGGAUUCCAGGAUCCAGCCUGUUUCCACAACGUGCCGCUCGCUUCCGGCCAGCGCUGUAACGUCAUCAAGCAGAGCCGGAAGUGCCUUCGCGCUGCCUAGGAGACGGGACGCGGGGCCCUAAGCUGACAGGGCCCGGCUGGCCGCGCCCACCCGGUCGCCAUGGAGCUGCCCCCAGGGCCGCGCGACGAUCCCCGCGCCUGGGAAGAUGACUCGGACCCGGAGUCGGAGCCCGACCCCGACGCGCAGGCCGAGGCUUACGUCGCCCGCGUGCUCAGUCCGCCGAAAGUCGGGCAGGCGCCCCCACGCGCCCCUUUGCUGUCCCCGCCCGUCGCAUCCCCUGGCGCCCUGGAGCCGCGGGCGGCGUCUAAGGGUGUGCCUGUGGGAGUCCCGGGACUGCUGAGCCUUCCUCCGGAGCUGCUGCUCGAGAUCUGCGCUUACCUAGAUGCGCGCCUGGUGCUCCACGUCCUGCCGCGCGUGUGCCACACGCUGCGCGACCUCGUGCGUGACCAUGUCACCUGGAGGCUACGGGCGCAGCGCCGCGUACGCGCGCCCUACCCAGUGGUGGAAGAGGAGGACUUUGACUGGCCGACAGCCUGCAUCGAGCUGGAGCAACACCUGUCGCGCUGGGCGGAGGAUGGGCGUUGGGCUGAGUACUUCUGCUUGGCUGAUGGGCACUUUGCUUCCAUUGACUCGGUGCUGCUGCUCCAGGAUGGUGCGCUUUGUCUGUCAGGCUCCCGAGAUCGCAAUGUCAACCUGUGGGACCUGCGGCAGCUGGGGAUGGAGCCCAGCCAGGUUCUAGUCAAGGCCCUGGGCACUGAGAAGAACAGCACCCACAAGGGCUGGGUGUGGUCGCUGGCAGCGCUGGACCACCGCGUGUGCUCUGGUUCCUGGGACAGCACCGUGAAGCUCUGGGACAUGGCAGCGGACGGGCAGCAGUUCGGCGAGAUAAAGGGCAAGGCGGCUGUGCUGUGCUUGUCCUACCGGCCUGACAUCCUGGUGACCGGCACCUAUGACAAGAAGGUGACCGUCUACGACCCCAGAGUUGGCCCGGCCCUGGUGAAGAGCCGGCGGCUGCACUCGAGUGCCGUGCUGGCGCUGCUGGCGGACGACCGGCACAUCGUCUCGGGCAGCGAGGACCGCACACUCGUGGUGUUCGACCGCCGGGCUGACAACGUCGUACAGCGGCUGCAGCUGGACUCCUACCUGCUCUGCAUGUCCUACCAGGAGCCCCAGCUCUGGGCUGGUGACAACCAGGGCCUGCUGCACGUCUUCGCCAACCGCAGUGGCCGCUUCCAGCUUGUCCGGUCUUUUGACGUGGGCCACCGGUCUCAGAUCACAGGGAUCAAACACUCACUGGGGGCCUUGUACACCACGUCCACCGACAAGACCAUCCGGGUGCAUGUGCCCACGGAUCCGCCGAGGACCAUCUGCACCCGAAGCCACAACAACGUGCUGAAUGGGGUAAGGCCCUGCCCUGUGUGCCCCGCCCAGCGGCCCACAGCGCCCCUGACUCCCUCCAUCCCUGCCCUCCCAGAUCUGCGCAGAGGGCAACCUGGUGGUCGCCGCCUCCGGGGGCCUGUCUCUGGAGGUCUGGAGGCUGCAGGCCUGAGCAGGCCGACUCGGAUGUGGAGGUGGAUCCGCCGGCCCACUGGCUGGGCCACGGCCUCUGUUCUCGGGGGACGCCCCCCAUGCUGGUGCUGCCUCUGCCCUGUCCUGAAGUCCUGAGGCACAAGGAGUCGGGCCAUGGUGCGCUGUGCCCCAUGGGCGGUGCCCCACGCCAGGGAAGUGGGCCCCAACACUCCUCCUCUGCCGGCCUCGGCCCCCAGCACGUACAGAGCGUACCCUGGCUGAGGUGCAGCCUGGCCUCACCCUCUGUCUACACUCACCGCCUGGGAUCUCAUCGGCAGAUUUUAUCUUUAAGUAAUCUCUACACCCAAUGUGGGGCUCAAACUCACAACCCCAAGA